RNAcentral lists this long non-coding RNA (284 nucleotides) under Elaeis guineensis (African oil palm). RNAcentral describes it as "long non-coding RNA (EGUI_LNC074192)". Lineage: Eukaryota; Viridiplantae; Streptophyta; Magnoliopsida; Arecales; Arecaceae. The record is from RNAcentral.
GUAUACAGCUCCUGAACUAGAGUGAUCAAUCCCAUCUUGACACACGCACCGAUAAGUCAAGUACUUGAUUACACCCAGCAGCCUUCUGUCACUGAAUUAUAAAUUCAGAUAGUCCAGUGCCUAAGUACAGUGAGUUGCUUACAAGUCACCAUGGCGGUCUCAGGUCGGAGGGACAUUUAUACCCAUAUCCCAUCGGAGCAAAUCUUGACAGCAGAAAUAGCUUCGGAGUCGAUCAUGUUCAGUGCAGAUGUACCCUUACAUCUCACCUGUAUGCCAUACCAGUG